AUGGUGGAGCUGUCUCCAUGUUGUCCUCAGAUGAAACUGAUAUAUAGUUCUAUUUCUGCCAGUUCCUUUCAGCCAAUUAGUAUCUUUAAUAUAUGGCAGGUAAACAAGUUCCCUACCUACUCCCUCUUCCUCUUGUCUCCUCCCUUUUUGUACCAGUUGAUAAACCAGGUAAACAAGUUCCCUACCUACUCCCUUUACCUCUUGUCUCCUCCCUUUUUGUACCAGUUGAUAAACCAGGUAAACAAGUUCCCUACCUACUCCCUCUUCCUCUUGUCUCCUCCCUUUUUGUACCAGUUGAUAAACCAGGUAAACAAGUUCCCUACCUACUCCCUCUUCCUCUUGUCUCCUCCCUUUUUGUACCAGUUGAUAAACCAGGUAAACAAGUUCCCUACCUACUCCCUCUUCCUCUUGUCUCCUCCCUUUUUGUACCAGUUGAUAAACCAGGUAAACAAGUUCCCUACCUACUCCCUUUUCCUCUUGUCUCCUCCCUUUUUGUACCAGUUGAUAAACCAGGUAAACAAGUUCCCUACCUACUCCCUCUUCCUCUUGUCUCCUCCCUUUUUGUACCAGUUGAUAAACCAGGUAAACAAGUUCCCUACCUUCUCCCUUUUCCUCUUGUCUCCUCCCUUUUUGUACCAGUUGAUAAACCAGGUAAACAAGUUCCCUACCUACUCCCUCUUCCUCUUGUCUCCUCCCUUUUCCUCUUGUCUCCUCCCUUUUCCUCUUGUCUCCUCCCUUUUUGUACCAGUUGAUAAACCAAGCAGACAAGUUCCCUACCUACUCCCUUUUCCUCUUGUCUCCUCCCUUUUUGUACCAGUUGAUAAACCAGGUAAACAAGUUCCCUACCUACUCCCUCUUCCUCUUGUCUCCUCCCUUUUUGUACCAGUUGAUAAACCAGGUAAACAAGUUCCCUACCUACUCCCUCUUCCUCUUGUCUCCUCCCUUUUUGUACCAGUUGAUAAACCAGGUAAACAAGUUCCCUACCUACUCCCUCUUCCUCUUGUCUCCUCCCUUUUUGUACCAGUUGAUAAACCAGGUAAACAAGUUCCCUACCUACUCCCUCUUCCUCUUGUCUCCUCCCUUUUUGUACCAGUUGAUAAACCAGGUAAACAAGUUCCCUACCUUCUCCCUCUUCCUCUUGCCUCCUCCAUUUCUGUGGUAGGGCUGCAAUCAGUUGGUUGUAAGUUUGGAUGGAGCAGAUAUUCACAUAUAUUUUCAAUAACUGCAUAUGUGACAUAA
RNAcentral lists this long non-coding RNA (1239 nucleotides) under Oncorhynchus mykiss (rainbow trout). RNAcentral's name for it is "lncRNA (ENSOMYG00000069156.1)". Lineage: Eukaryota; Metazoa; Chordata; Actinopteri; Salmoniformes; Salmonidae. The record is from RNAcentral.